RNAcentral lists this ribosomal RNA (472 nucleotides) under uncultured bacterium. RNAcentral describes it as "bacterial SSU rRNA". It matches the Rfam family "Bacterial small subunit ribosomal RNA", at positions 8 to 526 of the family's 1533-position model. The record is from RNAcentral.
AGAGUUUGAUCAUGGCUCAGGAUGAACGCUGGCGGUAUGCUUAACACAUGCAAGUCGAACGAAGUAGCAAUACUUAGUGGCGGACGGGUGAGUAACGCGUAAGAAUCUGCCCCCAGGUUCGGGAUAACGGGAGGAAACUGCCGCUAAUACCGGAUGUGUCUGGGAAGAGAAAGGUUAACUGCCUGGGGAUGAGCUUGCGUCAGAUUAGCUAGUUGGAGUGGUAAGAGCACACCAAGGCGACAAUCUGUAGCGGGUUUGAGAGGAUGACCCGCCACACUGGGACUGAGACACGGCCCAGACUCCUACGGGAGGCAGCAGUGGGGAAUUUUCCGCAACGGGCGAAAGCCUGACGAAGCAAUACCGCGUGAGGGACGAAGGUCUGUGGAUUGUAAACCUCUUUUCUCUGGGACGAUGAUGACGGUACCAGAGGAAUAAGCAUCGGCUAACUCCGUGCCAGCCGCCGCGGUAAUUC